GUUGAUUGGGAAACUCAUCAAAUAUAUAUGAAAUACCGAGAACAAUCUCUGUCGGCCGAUGGCGGGCCCCAUUCUCCUUCGGGAGAAGUUCCCCGGAGAAUUCCGGGACGACCAGGCGGAUUACAAAGGACGGCAAGACCUCAAAUCCUGUCUUUCGGAGUUUCAUCGCAUCCUUUG
Molecule: small RNA, 177 nt
Filed under: human gut metagenome
Description: Bacteroidales-1 6S-Bacteroidales RNA suggested
Rfam family: Bacteroidales-1 6S-Bacteroidales RNA suggested
Source: RNAcentral